RNAcentral lists this long non-coding RNA (219 nucleotides) under Eucalyptus grandis. Its description in RNAcentral is "long non-coding RNA (EGRA_LNC004289)". The record is from RNAcentral. Lineage: Eukaryota; Viridiplantae; Streptophyta; Magnoliopsida; Myrtales; Myrtaceae.
CUUUAUGUUUUCCUCUGAACCGUCGCAAUUUUGUUCUCCCUCCCCGCAACGGAACGGAGAACGGGGAGAGAGAAAGAGAGGAGAGAGAGGAGAGCAGAGGAGAGCAGAGCGUCAAAAGGUGCAGAGAGGUGGGCCAGGGAGAGAGGAGAGAGAGAAGCUCCCGCGCGCUGGUUCGAAACGGAGAAGUGGACGACGUGGACUGACACCGGGACACGUGUC